RNAcentral lists this ribosomal RNA (419 nucleotides) under bacterium. RNAcentral's name for it is "partial 16S ribosomal RNA". It matches the Rfam family "Bacterial small subunit ribosomal RNA", at positions 355 to 776 of the family's 1533-position model. The record is from RNAcentral.
UGGGGGAUAUUGCACAAUGGGCGAACGCCUGAUGCCGCGACGCCGCGUGGGGGAUGAAGGCCUUCGGGUUGUAAACUUCUUUUGCUCUGAACAAGGCAUGCUAAUGGGUGUGUUGAGUGUAGGGGUUGAUUAGCGCCGGCUACCUACGUGCCAGCAGCCGCGGUAAUACGUAGGGCGCGAGCGUUGUCCGGAAUUAUUGGGCGUAAAGGGCUUGUAGGUGGCUGGUUGCGUCUGUCGUGAAAGCUCAUGGCUUAACUGUGGGUUUGCGGUGGGUACGGGCUGGCUUGAGUGCAGUAGGGGAGGCUGGAAUUACUGGGGUAGCGGUGGAAUGAGCAGAGAUCAGGAGGAAUACCGGUGGCGAAGGAGGGGCUCUGGGCUGUUACUGACACUGAGGAGCGAAAGAAUGGGGAGCGAAAAGG